CUGGCGGCGUGCCUAAUACAUGCAAGUCGAGCGGACAGAAGGGAGCUUGCUCCCGGAUGUUAGCGGCGGACGGGUGAGUAACACGUGGGUAACCUGCCUGUAAGACUGGGAUAACUCCGGGAAACCGGAGCUAAUACCGGAUAGUUCCUUGAACCGCAUGGUUCAAGGAUGAAAGACGGUUUCGGCUGUCACUUACAGAUGGACCCGCGGCGCAUUAGCUAGUUGGUGAGGUAACGGCUCACCAAGGCGACGAUGCGUAGCCGACCUGAGAGGGUGAUCGGCCACACUGGGACUGAGACACGGCCCAGACUCCUACGGGAGGCAGCAGUAGGGAAUCUUCCGCAAUGGACGAAAGUCUGACGGAGCAACGCCGCGUGAGUGAUGAAGGUUUUCGGAUCGUAAAGCUCUGUUGUUAGGGAAGAACAAGUGCAAGAGUAACUGCUUGCACCUUGACGGUACCUAACCAGAAAGCCACGGCUAACUACG
RNAcentral lists this ribosomal RNA (486 nucleotides) under marine sediment bacterium ISA-2616. RNAcentral describes it as "bacterial SSU rRNA". It matches the Rfam family "Bacterial small subunit ribosomal RNA", at positions 36 to 505 of the family's 1533-position model. The record is from RNAcentral.